UACGGAGGAUCCAAGCGUUAUCCGGAAUUACUGGGCGUAAAGAGUUGCGUAGGUGGCAUAGUAAGUAGAUAGUGAAAUCGUGUGGCUCAACCAUAUAUCCAUUAUCUAAACUGCUAAGCUCGAGGAUGAGAGAGGUUAUUGGAAUUCCCUGUGUAGGAGUGAAAUCCGUAGAUAUAGGGAGGAACACCGAUGGCGUAGGCAGAUAACUGGCUCAUUCCUGACACUAAGGCACGAAAGCGUGGGUAGCAAACGGG
This 254-nucleotide ribosomal RNA is filed under the name uncultured bacterium. Its description in RNAcentral is "partial 16S ribosomal RNA". It matches the Rfam family "Bacterial small subunit ribosomal RNA", at positions 524 to 776 of the family's 1533-position model. The record is from RNAcentral.